UACAGAGGUGGCAAGCGUUGUUCGGAAUUACUGGGCGUAAAGGGCGCGUAGGCGGCUUGGUCAGUCCCGUGUGAAAUCCCUCGGCUCAACUGAGGUACUGCACGGGAAACUGCCUGGCUUGAGUUCGGGAGAGGGAAGCGGAAUUCCGGGUGUAGCGGUGAAAUGCGUAGAUAUCCGGAGGAACACCGGUGGCGAAGGCGGCUUCCUGGACCGACACUGACGCUGAGGCGCGAAAGCUAGGGGAGCAAACGGG
RNAcentral lists this ribosomal RNA (253 nucleotides) under uncultured bacterium. RNAcentral's name for it is "partial 16S ribosomal RNA". It matches the Rfam family "Bacterial small subunit ribosomal RNA", at positions 524 to 776 of the family's 1533-position model. The record is from RNAcentral.